This 2139-nucleotide ribosomal RNA is filed under the name Salmonella enterica subsp. enterica serovar Typhimurium. RNAcentral's name for it is "partial 23S ribosomal RNA". It matches the Rfam family "Bacterial large subunit ribosomal RNA", at positions 767 to 2802 of the family's 2925-position model. The record is from RNAcentral. Lineage: Bacteria; Pseudomonadati; Pseudomonadota; Gammaproteobacteria; Enterobacterales; Enterobacteriaceae.
UGGAGGACCGAACCGACUAAUGUUGAAAAAUUAGCGGAUGACCUGUGGCUGGGGGUGAAAGGCCAAUCAAACCGGGAGAUAGCUGGUUCUCCCCGAAAGCUAUUUAGGUAGCGCCUCGUGAAUUCAUCUCCGGGGGUAGAGCACUGUUUCGGCUAGGGGGCCAUCCCGGCUUACCAACCCGAUGCAAACUGCGAAUACCGGAGAAUGUUAUCACGGGAGACACACGGCGGGUGCUAACGUCCGUCGUGAAGAGGGAAACAACCCAGACCGCCAGCUAAGGUCCCAAAGUCAUGGUUAAGUGGGAAACGAUGUGGGAAGGCCCAGACAGCCAGGAUGUUGGCUUAGAAGCAGCCAUCAUUUAAAGAAAGCGUAAUAGCUCACUGGUCGAGUCGGCCUGCGCGGAAGAUGUAACGGGGCUAAACCAUGCACCGAAGCUGCGGCAGCGAACGUAUCACCCAAGACAACUUUACGGAGUUGACGAUUGACGGAGCGAAGCGACGUCAAAGCGUUCAUUAAAGUCGAGUUGGCUUAGGGAUACGUUCGUUGGGUAGGGGAGCGUUCUGUAAGCCUGUGAAGGUGUGUCGUGAGGCAUGCUGGAGGUAUCAGAAGUGCGAAUGCUGACAUAAGUAACGAUAAAGCGGGUGAAAAGCCCGCUCGCCGGAAGACCAAGGGUUCCUGUCCAACGUUAAUCGGGGCAGGGUGAGUCGACCCCUAAGGCGAGGCCGAAAGGCGUAGUCGAUGGGAAACGGGUUAAUAUUCCCGUACUUGGUGUUACUGCGAAGGGGGGACGGAGAAGGCUAUGUUGGCCGGGCGACGGUUGUCCCGGUUUAAGCGUGUAGGUGUGUGUUCCAGGUAAAUCCGGUUCACUUUAACACUGAGGCGUGACGACGAGGCACUACGGUGCUGAAGCAACAAAUGCCCUGCUUCCAGGAAAAGCCUCUAAGCAUCAGGUAACAUCAAAUCGUACCCCAAACCGACACAGGUGGUCAGGUAGAGAAUACCAAGGCGCUUGAGAGAACUCGGGUGAAGGAACUAGGCAAAAUGGUGCCGUAACUUCGGGAGAAGGCACGCUGACACGUAGGUGAAGUGAUUUACUCAUGGAGCUGAAGUCAGUCGAAGAUACCAGCUGGCUGCAACUGUUUAUUAAAAACACAGCACUGUGCAAACACGAAAGUGGACGUAUACGGUGUGACGCCUGCCCGGUGCCGGAAGGUUAAUUGAUGGGGUCAGCGCAAGCGAAGCUCCUGAUCGAAGCCCCGGUAAACGGCGGCCGUAACUAUAACGGUCCUAAGGUAGCGAAAUUCCUUGUCGGGUAAGUUCCGACCUGCACGAAUGGCGUAAUGAUGGCCAGGCUGUCUCCACCCGAGACUCAGUGAAAUUGAACUCGCUGUGAAGAUGCAGUGUACCCGCGGCAAGACGGAAAGACCCCGUGAACCUUUACUAUAGCUUGACACUGAACAUUGAGCCUUGAUGUGUAGGAUAGGUGGGAGGCUUUGAAGUGUGGACGCCAGUCUGCAUGGAGCCGACCUUGAAAUACCACCCUUUAAUGUUUGAUGUUCUAACGUGGACCCGUAAUCCGGGUUGCGGACAGUGUCUGGUGGGUAGUUUGACUGGGGCGGUCUCCUCCUAAAGAGUAACGGAGGAGCACGAAGGUUGGCUAAUCCUGGUCGGACAUCAGGAGGUUAGUGCAAUGGCAUAAGCCAGCUUGACUGCGAGCGUGACGGCGCGAGCAGGUGCGAAAGCAGGUCAUAGUGAUCCGGUGGUUCUGAAUGGAAGGGCCAUCGCUCAACGGAUAAAAGGUACUCCGGGGAUAACAGGCUGAUACCGCCCAAGAGUUCAUAUCGACGGCGGUGUUUGGCACCUCGAUGUCGGCUCAUCACAUCCUGGGGCUGAAGUAGGUCCCAAGGGUAUGGCUGUUCGCCAUUUAAAGUGGUACGCGAGCUGGGUUUAGAACGUCGUGAGACAGUUCGGUCCCUAUCUGCCGUGGGCGCUGGAGAACUGAGGGGGGCUGCUCCUAGUACGAGAGGACCGGAGUGGACGCAUCACUGGUGUUCGGGUUGUCAUGCCAAUGGCACUGCCCGGUAGCUAAAUGCGGAAGAGAUAAGUGCUGAAAGCAUCUAAGCACGAAACUUGCCCCGA